Molecule: ribosomal RNA, 322 nt
Filed under: Cercomonas sp.
Lineage: Eukaryota; Cercozoa; Cercomonadida; Cercomonadidae
Description: SSU rRNA
Rfam family: Eukaryotic small subunit ribosomal RNA (bases 55-322)
Source: RNAcentral
GAUUUCUGGUACGGCGCGCUUGGCCCGCCAGGGUUACCUGGUUGUGUGCUGGUGCGCGCCUGCCAUCCUUUUGCAUUUCAGUUCUAUCCUUUACUGGUGUGAACUGGUUUGCAAAUCUUUUACUUUGAAAAAAUUAGAGUGUUUAAAGCAGGCUUACGCUGUGAAUACAUUAGCAUGGAAUAAUAAUUUAGGACUUCGGUCUCUAUUUUGUUGGUUUCUAGAGCUGAAGUAAUGAUUGAUAGGGAUAGUUGGGGGUGCUAGUAUUCAUCGGCCAGAGGUGAAAUUCUUGGAUUCGAUGAAGACUAACUUAUGCGAAAGCAUU